This 335-nucleotide unclassified non-coding RNA is filed under the name air metagenome. Its description in RNAcentral is "partial contains small subunit ribosomal RNA, internal transcribed spacer 1, and 5.8S ribosomal RNA". The stretch from base 1 to 46 matches the Rfam family "Eukaryotic small subunit ribosomal RNA", at positions 1786 to 1831 of the family's 1831-position model. The record is from RNAcentral.
AAGUCGUAACAAGGUUUCCGUAGGUGAACCUGCGGAAGGAUCAUUAUUGAAUUAAAUUGGUAGAGGUUGUUGCUGGCUCUUAAAAGCAAGUGCACACCUCUCCAUCUUUAUUUUCCCUUGUGCACAUUUUGUAGUCUUUAUGAUUAAAAAUAGCUAAUGUUCGAGUCUAACUCGGUUGAGGAGUUGCUGUGCGUAAGCUGGCUCUCCUUGUAAGCUAUCAAUAAUAAUAAAGUCUAUGUUUUACUAUACCCAAAUGAAUGUUACAAGAAUGUAAUCAAUGGACUUAGUUGUCUAUAAAACAAAUACAACUUUCAGCAACGGAUCUCUUGGCUCUC